ACAUGACAAAUAAAGUGUCUUACACAUGUAAAUCUUAAUGUUAAAGCUGCUUGGUCCGAUUUUCAAUAAAAUAAUUGUACGCUUUUAAACGAUGGUUAUGCUAAGUAUGUGUGCAAUAAUAUACGUUGCAGUACAUGUAGUUUUCCCUGUCAAUUAAGCCAUAUUUCAAUGAAAAAAUUAUGUACAUGUUGAAACUCGUUGAAUCCGGAUGUUGUUUAUUACGGCAUGCUGCCCAAUCCGGCGACAUUAUUCAGCCCCUUGACAUUUUCCCAUCAUUUUUGUUUAAAAAAAAUUUGUGCAAUCCGGAUCCUAUCUAUUCUGUUAACCGGCGCAAUGAAAAAGCCUACUGCAUAUUAUUAGUGAGAGUUAUCUCCCGUAGUCCGUCCACUUAUCGAUCGAUCGGCCUUCUGCGAGAUAUUAAUGCUCAAUUAUUGACCAAUUUUUCUGUCGUUGCUAUUGAUUUAAACAACUGUUAAUAUAGAUCCAAAGAAGCAACUUUUUUCAGUUAAUACCGUAAAGUCUUGUUAUGAAUUGCAAUUGGAUAAUUAGAUUAUAGUUCACCCAAUUUUUUUCAGGCCGUGAUUCAGGAUACUGCGGGAGUAAGACUGCCGAUAUCGUUUGUUAUCCCCGUUGCAUGGCUACACGUAAAUCGGAUGUUUGAAAGAUUAUCAAUAACGACGAUUUAAUUCAAGGAUUUCCAUCAACCACCCUCCGCCGGAUUAGACAAGUUUUGUUGUGUAUUCGCAAAAUAAUCGACAUAAAAGGGUUUUGCGUUAUUUCGCCGCUUGUUUAAACUGGCCCCUUACGUCGAAGCUAGUAUGAUUGUAUUACGACUUUGACAUCUGGUUUUUUUAUAUAAUCUAUUAUAACAUAUAAAAUAUACAGCAUGACUAUUUAAACAAAAAUAAAGCAGUGUACAUUUGUUCAUUAAUAGUUUUGAUGUUUACGUUGUUUAUAAUCAUUGCAAAACAUGCAGGAUGAAUAAACUCAAUCAUUCGGAGGAUGAAACCCAACGGUUUCCUUUUUUAAACAUUCCAAUGAUGUAUUUUGGGGGGUUUUUGUAUGCCCCAAAUUUAUUUUUAUUUACUUUGAAUAUUUCUAACGUUGAAAGGAGAGCACUUCCGUUUAAAUACGUCUAUAAAUUUGUAAGAUUAUUCAUUAGGUUUGCAAGGAAAAUUAUUUGAUACUGUAAUGGCCGACAAAUCGGAACAUGCAGCUUGAAGAAAUUUCUCAACUUAUUAUACCUCGAAACGUUAUUUCAAAUCAGGCACCAAACAAUGAAGGGAACUGGAAAUAUUCGGCGGAUCCAAAUGUUAAAAUAUUCUUAUGAUAAAAAUUGAUAUUUAUGGCAAACAGAUUAAUCAUUUUUUAUCUCUUAAAGAUAUAAUCGCACCUGUGUUUUGUAUCCAUCUCUUUUAAACUCUUUGUAGCCAAAUCUGUCAAAAUUCGUGGUCGUUUCACCCUCUUGUUGCAACCCCAAACCCCGCUGAAAUGUUCACAAUCGAUGCGCUGAUGAACGAAAGACUCGACUAGAAAAACUUGCUGCAUGGGCCGUCUAACAUUAUUAAUUUUAAUGAUGAAUUCAGAAACUUUUACAUUUCAAAAAGUGUCAUUUUUUGUUAAGUUACAGGAACAUUGUCA
Magallana angulata is the source of this 1641-nucleotide long non-coding RNA. RefSeq lists it as uncharacterized. The transcript has 3 exons. Lineage: Eukaryota; Metazoa; Mollusca; Bivalvia; Ostreida; Ostreidae. The record is from RefSeq and is a predicted model, not a curated record.